RNAcentral lists this ribosomal RNA (433 nucleotides) under uncultured bacterium. RNAcentral describes it as "partial 16S ribosomal RNA". It matches the Rfam family "Bacterial small subunit ribosomal RNA", at positions 29 to 507 of the family's 1533-position model. The record is from RNAcentral.
AGCGAACGCUGGCGGCAGGCUUAACACAUGCAAGUCGAGCGGGCACUUCGGUGUCAGCGGCAGACGGGUGAGUAACACGUGGGAACGUACCCUUUGGUUCGGAAUAACGCUGGGAAACUAGCGCUAAUACCGGAUACGCCCUUUUGGGGAAAGGCUUGCUGCCGAAGGAUCGGCCCGCGUCUGAUUAGCUAGUUGGUGGGGUAAUGGCCUACCAAGGCGACGAUCAGUAGCUGGUCUGAGAGGAUGAUCAGCCACACUGGGACUGAGACACGGCCCAGACUCCUACGGGAGGCAGCAGUGGGGAAUAUUGGACAAUGGGCGCAAGCCUGAUCCAGCCAUGCCGCGUGAGUGAUGAAGGCCUUAGGGUUGUAAAGCUCUUUUGUCCGGGACAAUAAUGACGGUACCGGAAGAAUAAGCCCCGGCUAACUUCGUG